Molecule: non-coding RNA, 31 nt
Filed under: Mus musculus (house mouse)
Lineage: Eukaryota; Metazoa; Chordata; Mammalia; Rodentia; Muridae
Source: RNAcentral
UCCAUCACUUAAUAAGGAAAUCUGUGCUCUU